CCUACGGGUGGCUGCAGUGGGGAAUAUUGCACAAUGGGGGAAACCCUGAUGCAGCGACGCCGCGUGAGCGAUGAAGUAUUUCGGUAUGUAAAGCUCUAUCAGCAGGGAAGAAAAUGACGGUACCUGACUAAGAAGCCACGGCUAACUACGUGCCAGCAGCCGCGGUAAUACGUCGGGGGCAAGCGUUAUCCGGAUUUACGUGGUGUAAAGGGAGCGUAGACGGCUGUGCAAGCCAGGUGUGAAAGCCCGGGGGUCAACCCCGGGACUGCCUUUGAAACUGUGUGGCUGGAGUGGCGGAGAGGCAGGCGGAAUUCCUAGUGUAGCGGUGAAAUGCGUAGAUAUUAGGAGGAACACCAGUGGCGAAGGCGGCCUGCUGGACGAUGACUGACGCUGAGGCACGAAAGCGUGGGGAUCGAACAGGAUUAGAUACCCCGGUAGUC
This 440-nucleotide ribosomal RNA is filed under the name uncultured bacterium. Its description in RNAcentral is "partial 16S ribosomal RNA". It matches the Rfam family "Bacterial small subunit ribosomal RNA", at positions 338 to 795 of the family's 1533-position model. The record is from RNAcentral.